GUUGGGCGCGGUGGCGCACGCCUGCAAUCCCAGAUGCUCAGGAGGCUGAGACAGGAGGAUUAUAAAUUCAAAGCCAGCAUCAGCAAUUUAGUGAAGCCGUAGCAACUCAGUGAGACCCUGUUUCUA
This 126-nucleotide small RNA is filed under the name Marmota monax (woodchuck). The record is from RNAcentral. Lineage: Eukaryota; Metazoa; Chordata; Mammalia; Rodentia; Sciuridae.